Molecule: long non-coding RNA, 466 nt
Organism: Mauremys reevesii (Reeves's turtle)
Lineage: Eukaryota; Metazoa; Chordata; Testudines; Geoemydidae
Exons: 3
Source: RefSeq, a predicted model, not a curated record
UUGGACAUUACGACUCUGGUACAUGACUGGUUUCUGUAGUUGAGUGUUGAUAAAAAUCUUUAGCCCCACGUCCUUGCAAAAGAAAAAUCAGAUAUGUCACCUCCUCUCAUUCUAGUCAACAAAAGCAACAUGUCCAGGAACCUGUGGCAGAGCAAGCAACUGAAUCCAUUUCUACUGAGCCUCAGCCCAGUGCAUGUACCCAGGACCAUCCAGGAGAUGAACAUAAUCCCUCACUUGAAGGAAUCUGAUUGGAAUGAAAAUUUUACUCUUCAGCUGAAAUUUCCAAAAAGGCUCGAGGGAGUUAGCAGUGCCAGUUUGCAGUACUUUAUUGCAAGUCUUGCCAUAUUUGGUGUUUCCUGGAUCCAUGUGGUUGCAGGAGAAUCUCAACUUUCAUAGACAUGGGUUUAACUCCUAAGAACCUGUGCUUGAGUCAUUUUGAGUUAGGAUCAUACAGAAUAUGUAUAUA